UGGCGGCGUGCCUAAUACAUGCAAGUCGAACGGUCUUUCUAUGGAAGCUUGCUUCCACUGAGAAGAUAGUGGCGAACGGGGUGAGUAACACGUGGGGUAACCUGCCCAUAAGAGGGGGAUAACAUCCGGAAACGGGUGCUAAUACCGCAUAGUUUUCUUGAUCGCAUGAUCGGGAAAGGAAAGACGGCCUUUGUGCUGUCGCUUAUGGAUGGACCCGCGGCGUAUUAGUUAGUUGGUGAGGUAAUGGCUCACCAAGACGAUGAUACGUAGCCGACCUGAGAGGGUGAUCGGCCACAUUGGGACUGAGACACGGCCCAAACUCCUACGGGAGGCAGCAGUAGGGAAUCUUCCGCAAUGGACGAAAGUCUGACGGAGCAACGCCGCGUGAGUGAAGAAAAGGUUUUCGGAUCGUAAAACUCUGUUGUCAGAGAAGAACAAGUUGGAGAGUAACUGCUCCAGCCUUGACGGUAUCUGACCAGAAAGCCACGGCUAACUACGUGCCAGCAGCCGC
Molecule: ribosomal RNA, 511 nt
Filed under: uncultured bacterium
Lineage: Bacteria
Description: bacterial SSU rRNA
Rfam family: Bacterial small subunit ribosomal RNA
Source: RNAcentral